This 11813-nucleotide long non-coding RNA is filed under the name Oryza sativa (Asian cultivated rice). RNAcentral describes it as "long non-coding RNA (OSAT_LNC001299)". Lineage: Eukaryota; Viridiplantae; Streptophyta; Magnoliopsida; Poales; Poaceae. The record is from RNAcentral.
AUUUUAUUUCUAUUUAUAUCACCUCAAGUUUCACAUGUCACAUACGAUGAUACCUGAGCUUAUAUUUUCACUUCCGAACUACAAUAUUGUGAAAAUUCAGUACAAGACACCGCCAAGGGUGGUAAUGCUACCAGGUGCACUAUAGGACCAAGGGUAGAUACCAUAUGUAGAUGGCAAGUUAAAAGCCAACAGUGCUUGAGCUUGAGCCAGAUUCCGGUCAAUGUAGAGAUUGCCAAACUGCUGGAGGUGUAGCUGGUGCGCUAUGGCCUGGACAACGUUAAUGUCCUGGUAGUGAGAUUGUUGCGCCACCAGCCUGAGCUGUUGCAAGACUUGGUUGUUUCUCAGUUGAAACGCAGCUGAUUGCAAGAAGGUGCUUGCCGCAAUGCUAUACUGCUGCCUUACGAACUCAUUAUAUGGGCUAAGCACCUGUUGCUGUAGCAGGAGAGGCGACUGCACCUGAUAUUGCCUAAUAUUUUGACCUAAAACAUCAAACUGCGCAGUGGCGCUGCAUGCAGCAAUAGCAAGGAGAGCAAAGACGAAAAUGAUCUUCAUUGUUGCAGGACACUAGUUCUUUUAAAUUUUUGUUGUAUAAUGCUUGAAUUGUGCGAGCGAUGAGGAGGGUUUUCAUGGAGUUUGUCCAUUUAGAGAUGCGGUGGCACGGAUUUUCUCUCGAUUCCUCAUCGGUUGCUUUAGUGUGUUAGUUUUGCUUGGAUGUCCUAUUAGGAUCUAAGUGAGUCAUGUCAUUUGGAUGUAUGUUCUAUUAGGUGCCCCAACAAAUCCGCUUUGGUGUCAUCAUGAAAGUAACUUUUCUGUCCAUCAUGAUGGUUAGCAGGCAAGAAAGAUAACGAUAUGACUCAUCGCUCACCAUUUGCGUUUGUUUCGUGAGGAUUGAAUCUUUUAUCUAGGUAUGUUUCUCACGUUUACUAAGCUAUUAUUUCACUACUGCAUGCCACGUUGAACUUUAAGGUCGCGCGGCCUCAUGCAUCUUGAAUUAUCAAAUUUCAACAGGAAUGACAAAAUUAUAGUACGACAGGUGCAUUUUAUUGUUUCGUUGAUGCGGUAGUGAAGAAUUUCUUGUAGGAAGAAUUAAGUUAGCGCUGAAGCCUAAAAUCACCAUUCGAGAUAUUUACGAGAGAUCACCAUUAUAAUUUUGCUGAAACAUGAGGUUUAUUAUCCAUUUUGUUUGCAGUGAGACUAUCUACUUUCAAUGCUAGAAUAAACUACUCAAAGCAACGAGUUUGUCAGCAAGAACAACCUCAAUGUCUUGGAGCAUUCCUUAAGUACGACAUCUCAUAAUUUUGAAUUUGGAAGAAGGGUGCAUUUUCUUUAUAGUCACUCUACAGUGAUAGAAUAAACCAAAGAACAUCACAAAUCCGUCUGUCCAGUUUUCACCCCCAUUGUUGCCGCUGCAUGUUUUGCUUCUGUACAGAAAUAAUUAUGCCUACGUUGUUGUUCCAUGAUGCAAAUUGAGCGAGAGCUCAACUCAAGAAUUUAUUAUACACUUCCUUUUUUCAAGAAUGAUGGACAACUAGAUGAUUUUCAAUUAUAAUUAAUAUCUAUAUAUGAAACUUGUUAAUGUACCAAAGUUUAAAAUUUUGAAAACCCGUCUUGAUGUCGCUUGACACAACAUAGUUGCAUUAAGUUACGUGUUUGCAUGACAUUGGCUUGUCAUAUUCACAAUGAUGUUGCAUAUGCGGCCUUUGAUAUACGCUUGUUUUAGUAGUGGAUGGAGAAUCAAAGUUGAUUGCUGCAUCUUUACGUGGUCUGUAUGGUAUACGAUUUUGUUGUGGUGGAUUUAGUAUUUGUCAUAUGUUUUUUGUGUUUGUUCUUAUUGGAAUAAAAUGAUGGACAUCCUUUAUACACUCCAUUUAUAUCUAAAAUACGAAGUAGCUUCGAAUCAAAUUUAAGCGCACAGAAAAAUUGUGGAGUACCAAUCAUGGUAAUUAGCUACGACAAUGCACUAGGAUAUAUCCUUAUAGAGGCAAGCUAUUUAAAUAUGAAAGAUAAUUUUAUUUCUAUUUAUAUCACCUCAAGUUUCACAUGUCACAUACGAUGAUACCUGAGCUUAUAUUUUCACUUCCGAACUACAAUAUUGUGAAAAUUCAGUACAAGACACCGCCAAGGGUGGUAAUGCUAUCGGGUGCACUAUAGGACCAAGGGUAGAUACCAUAUGUAGAUGGCAAGUUAAAAGCCAACAGUGCUUGAGCUUGAGCCAGAUUCCGGUCAAUGUAGAGAUUGCCAAACUGCUGGAGGUGUAGCUGGUGCGCUAUGGCCUGGACAACGUUAAUGUCCUGGUAGUGAGAUUGUUGCGCCACCAGCCUGAGCUGUUGCAAGACUUGGUUGUUUCUCAGUUGAAACGCAGCUGAUUGCAAGAAGGUGCUUGCCGCAAUGCUAUACUGCUGCCUUACGAACUCAUUAUAUGGGCUAAGCACCUGUUGCUGUAGCAGGAGAGGCGACUGCACCUGAUAUUGCCUAAUAUUUUGACCUAAAACAUCAAACUGCGCAGUGGCGCUGCAUGCAGCAAUAGCAAGGAGAGCAAAGACGAAAAUGAUCUUCAUUGUUGCAGGACACUAGUUCUUUUAAAUUUUUGUUGUAUAAUGCUUGAAUUGUGCGAGCGAUGAGGAGGGUUUUCAUGGAGUUUGUCCAUUUAUAGAUGCGCUGGCACGGAUUUUCUUUCGAUUCCUCAUCGGUUGCUUUAGUGUGUUAGUUUUGCUUGGAUGUCCUAUUAGGAUCUAGGUGAGUCAUGUCAUUUGGAUGUAUGUUCUAUUAGGUGCCCCAACAAAUCCGCUUUGGUGUCAUCAUGAAAGUAACUUUUCUGUCCAUCAUGAUGGUUAGCAGGCAAGAAAGAUAACGAUAUGACUCAUCGCUCACCUUAUGCGUUUGUUUCGUGAGGAUUGAAUCUUUUAUCUAGGGAUGUUUAUCACGUUUACUAAGCUAUUUUUUCACUACUGCAUGCCACGUUGAACUUUAAGGUCGCGCGGCCUCAUGCAUCUUGAAUUAUAAAAUUUCAACAGGAAUGACAAAAUUAUAGUACGGCAGGUGCAUUUUAUUGUUUCGUUGAUGCGGUAGUGAAGAUUUGAUUGUAGGAAGAAUUAAGUUAGCGCUGAAGCCUAAAAUCACCAUUCGAGAUAUUUACGAGAGAUCACCAAUAUAAUUUUGCUGAAACAUGAGGUUUAUUAUCCAUUUUGUUUGCAGUGAGACUAUCUACUUUCAAUGCUAGAAUAAACUACUCAAAGCAAAGAGUUUGUCAGCAAGAACAACCUCAAUGUCUUGGAGCAUUCCUUAAGUACGACAUCUCAUAAUUUUGAAUUUGGAAGAAGGGUGCAUUUUCUUUAUAGUCACUCUACAGUGACAGAAUAAACCAAAGAACAUCACAAAUCCGUCUUUCCGGUUUUCACCCCCAUUGUUGGCGCUGCAUGUUUUGCUUCUGUACAGAAAUAAUUAUGCCUACGUUGUUGUUCCAUGAUGCAAAUUGAGCGAGAGCUCAACUCAAGAAUUUAUUAUACACUUCCUUUUGUCAAGAAUGUUGGACAACUAGAUGAUUUUCAAUUGAAAUUAAUAUCUAUAUAUGAAACUAGUUAAUGUACCAAAGUUUAAAAUUUUGAAAACCCGUCUUGAUGUCGCUUGACACAACAUAGUUGCAUUAAGUUACGUGUUUGCAUGACAUUGGCUUGUCAUAUUCACAAUGAUGUUGCAUAUGCGGCCUUUGAUAUACGCUUGUUUUAGUAGUGGAUGGAGAAUCAAAGUUGAUUGCUGCAUCUUUACGUGGUCUGUAUGGUAUACGAUUUUGUUGUGGUGGAUUUAGUAUUUGUCAUAUGUUUUUUGUGUUUGUUCUUAUUGGAAUAAAAUGAUGGACAUCCUUUAUACACUCCAUUUAUAUCUAAAAUACGAAGUAGCUUCGAAUCAAAUUUAAGCGCACAGAAAAAUUGUGGAGUACCAAUCAUGGUAAUUAGCUACGACAAUGCACUAGGAUAUAUCCUUAUAGAGGCAAGCUAUUUAAAUAUGAAAGAUAAUUUUAUUUCUAUUUAUAUCACCUUAAGUUUCACAUGUCACAUACGAUGAUACCUGAGCUUAUAUUUUCACUUCCGAACUACAAUAUUGUGAAAAUUCAGUACAAGACACCGCCAAGGGUGGUAAUACUACCCGGUGCACUAUAGUACCUAGGGUAGAUACCAUAUGUAGAUGGCAAGUUAAAAGCCAACAGUGCUUGCGCUUGAGCCAGAUUCCGGUCAAUGUAGAGAUCGCCAAACUGCUGGAGGUGUAGCUGCUGCGCUAUGGCCUGGACAACGUUAAUGUCCUGGUAGUGAGAUUGUUGCGCCACCAGCCUGAGCUGUUGCAAGACUUGGUUGUUUCUCAGUUGAAACACAGCUGAUUGCAAGAAGGGGCUUGCCGCAAUGCUAUACUGCUGCCUUACGAACUCAUUAUAUAGGCUAAGCACCUGUUGCUGUAGCAGGAGAGGCGACUGCACCUGAUAUUGCCUAAUAUUUUGACCUAAAACAUCAAACUGCGCUGUGGCGCUGCAUGCAGCAAUAGCAAGGAGAGCAAAGACGAAAAUGAUCUUCAUUGUUGCAGGACACUAGUUCUUUUAAAUUUUUGUUGUAUAAUGCUUGAAUUGUGCGAGCGAUGAGGAGGGUUUUCAUGGAGUUUGUCCAUUUAUAGAUGCGCUGGCACGGAUUUUCUUUCGAUUCCUCAUCGGUUGCUUUAGUGUGUUAGUUUUGCUUGGAUGUCCUAUUAGGAUCUAAGUGAGUCAUGUCAUUUGGUUGUAUGUUCUAUUAGGUGCCCCAACAAAUCCGCUUUGGUGUCAUCAUGAAAGUAACUUUUCUGUCCAUCAUGAUGGUUAGCAGGCAAGAAAGAUAACGAUAUGACUCAUCGCUCACCUUAUGCGUUUGUUUCGUGAGGAUUGAAUCUGUUAUCUAGGUAUGUUUAUCAUGUUUACCAAGCUAUUAUUUCACUACUGCAUGCCACGUUGAACUUUAAGGUCGUGCGGCCUCAUGCAUCUUGAAUUAUAAAAUUUCAACAGGAAUGACAAAAUUAUAGUACGGCAGGUGCAUUGUAUUGUUUCUUUGAUGUGGUAAUGAAGAUUUGAUUGUAGGAAGAAUUAAGUUAGCACUGAAGUCUAAUAUCACCAUUCGAGAUAUUUACGAGAGAUCACCAUUAUAAUUUUGCUGAAACAUGAGGUUUAUUAUCCAUUUUGUUUACAGUGAGACUAUCUACUUUCAAUGCUAGAAUAAACUACUCAAAGCAACGAGUUUGUCAGCAAGAACAACCUCAAUGUCUUGGAGCAUUCCUUAAGUACGACAUCACAUAAUUUUGAAUUUGGAAGAAGGGUGUAUUUUCUUUAUAGUCACUCUACAGUGACAGAAUAAACCAAAAGAACAUCACAAAUCUGUCUUUUCGGUUUUCACCCCCAUUGUUGCCGCUGCAUGUUUUGCUUCUGUACAGAAAUAAUUAUGCCUACGUUGUUGUUCCAUGAUGCAAAUUGAGCGAGAGCUCAACUCAAGAAUUUAUUAUACACUUCCUUUUGUCAAGAAUGAUGGACAACUAGAUGAUUUUCAAUUCAAAUUAAUAUCUAUAUAUGAAACUUGUUAAUGUACCAAUGUUUAAAAUUUUGAAAACCCGUUUUGAUGUCGCUUGAAACAACAUAGUUGCAUGAAGUGAUGUGUUUGCAUGACAUUGGCUUGUCAUAUUCACAAUGAUGCUGCAUAUGCGGCCUUUGAUAUACGCUUGUUUUAGUAGUGGGACUAAAUUCAAUGGGACUAAAUUCUUUUAUUCCCUUCUAUAUUAAAUAAUCAAGAUGAGGCAGCAGUGCAAAAUUGAGCCGAAUUUUAGGAAAAUAGGGUUCACCAAGUCGAGUUCACACCGCGUUUCUCUUGCGCAAACUCCACUUGCUGGGGGGCAUUUGUUUGACGGUAUUUUGUGAUCUUAUAAAUCCAAGGAUUAUUUGUAUUAUCAAGACAAGCAAACAAAAGAGCAGCUAUGAUCGUCGCAUUCAUUAAUAUGUGACUCUGUAUAUAGCUUGCUCAAUUGCAUGGGAUGCAUGAGCCAUGCACGUACUGGCAUAUGUAUGUCCUCCUAUAUGGCUAUACAUGGGUACAUGUGUUCAGCCAUAUAUACAUGCUUAGCUAAUCUAUACGUAAGCAUGCAUGCACAAGGAGACCUAAGUGACAUGUGAGCAGCUCAUAAACGAGCGCUCGUGACUAUAUAUGUAUUCACCGUACGUGCAUGUAUACGUACAGAAAUACCGGGUGGUUUCUAUGAGUUAAGAAGCAACAUCUAGCUACACGGUUGAAAUGUGAAGCUGCACGUGGGCCGGCAGCCCAUAGACACAUUGCGUUUUCAUCGUAUAUAUGCGAUUGUAUCAGAAUACAUGCGUACGCGGGAUUUCUCAACUGCAAGCUACUGAUGUGCGCGGCUAGCGCCGGAUAAACCCAACCAACAAACUUCGUCUUAUCCAGGUGAUUCGAAUUAGCGUGAUCUGCAGCAACGUCGCCCGGAGGUAUCGGAACAAACACGUGCAGCCACGUCGGCGCCGGAGUAUGCGCGCCCGUCCGUUAGGUUUUCCCAGCGCUUAUAAAAGCCAACGAGAGCUAACCAGCCAGGGCAUGGAGAAUCAUUCAUAAAACACACAUCCAUCCAUCCACACAUAUGUAGAACAAGAACACAAAGCAGAAGGGCACGCCAACGCGUGCGCUGACGGCCGGCGGCAGCCAACAGGCGCUCUGCCAAGAGACGGCGCCAGGCGAUCGACAUUCGUCCAGCCAUCCCUCUGCCCGGUGAGAAGACACGGCGCGCCAGCCGGCGGCUGUGGGCAGAAUGAGGAGGAGAGAAGCAGUACACGGACAUGGUCUCAUCUACACCAGCACACCGGCGGCGAGUACAGCUCCGUCCUUUUCUUUGUUUCUCUUUCGUUUUGCAGAUUGAUCAUGGAGGAGGAACAUGGAUGUAGAACCACAAGAAGAGAUCGAUCCAUCCACUCAUACAUAGAUCACAUGAGGGAACACACAGAGGCCUCGGCGGAAGGGUACGCCGGCGAGGGUACAGGCAGCCACCCAAUAGACGGCGCUAGGCGAUCGACAUCCAUGCAUCGAGAUCCAUCCGACUCCCAUCAAGAUUCAUCCACAGCUACUUCGCCGGAGCAGGAGAGCACGCCGCCGGUAGCGCUCGGCGCCGGUGUCCAGCAGAAGGACGUUGGAGGAAGGAGAGCAACCUGAACUUGGCCAAUCAACAAGCACGAGAAUUAGAUCAAUGGCUGCCCAAGGUAAAGGCUAACCAAAUAUCGUUCCUUUCCUGUUUUAUCUGCAGCACACAUGCAUGCAUGAGGAUAUUUCUACACACGGCGGGUCAGUGCGUGGUGCAUCGUCGUCGCUAGAGUUGUUGAGCCGACCCAUCUAUGGGCGCCACCUAUAAGCUUCGUCACGUCGGAGUUGAUGACAUGCCGUUCGUCCGCGAUACCUUCGCCUUCAUCACACGGCAGUCGCAGACGCCGUCGAGCCACCCACGUCCACAACUAGGCUGCUGCCUCACCAGAAAUGCUGUUUCGGGCACUAUUCACGCCAUCCCGCGAAGAUCGCGAGAGCUGCCAUGGGCGUUUGCCAAGGCGCUGCCGGCCGAGCGGUGGUCAUCCUCGCCAACUGAUCACCACCUGCCGAAGAUGGUCAUCCCCACGUCGCACUGAUGGAGCGUUGGGAAUAGUCGGAGCAGCCGCGGGCAUCAUCAAGCCAUCCCUAAUCCGCCAGGAGGUCUUGUCAGAUCCAAGGCGAAUGCCAUCAUGCUGCCCGCAUCCAUGAAUGUCGCCGAGUCGCCGAGGCGCUGCCAAGCAGUGCUUGUACCCGCCAAUCGAUCAUCUAUCGGGGAAAGCCGUCGUCCUCUCGCCGCCCUGCCGGAGCGCGCCGAAGAUUGCCGGAGCCACCGCCGAUUGCCAUGAUUUCUCCUGCUUCUAUGUCGGAGGUCAAGCAUCAUGCAUGGCGUCGACAACUAUGGCUGCAGCAACUGAGAGUGAGGGCGACAGCGACAGGAUGACGACGAACCGAUGCUGUUGAACGCCAUGGCAACAAGCUAGCAAAUGCACGCUAAUUAAGCUAAUUAUUGUGGCAACGUGGCCGACCAACUGGAGGGUGACACAUCAUCACCAUGCUUCAGUGCUAUGCACAAGAAGAAGUCGUCAACGCGAUGGCUAAACAAAUCCUGUUGAUUUCAAGCUUUCUCAAUUAGAUACCGAGCUGUGAUUAAAUCCGGCUGCCGUCUAUAUCGUCCAACUCGUCGGCGACACUCUAACGCUCGCCAUCCCUGCUCAAGCUACCGGUGAUGCCGUCUACCGGAUGCCGCCACGUCGUCGAGAUACACCAACGCCCCCAUCUCGCCAACUGCGGCUUCUCUUCCGUAAUGUGCGCCGUACCCUCGCCGGCGAUCGUCGGAGCAGCCACUAGUGUCGCCCGAGCUGUUUCUGAUCCAGGAGAUGGUGGCAGUCGCCGGGAUGCUCCUCGAGGAGCCGUCGACACAUGCCACCCUGCUGGGACACACUGAAGGUCCCCAGAGCAGCCGCGGACACCGUCGAGGUGCUCGUACACCGUCGUCAAGUCCAGCUGUGAUUCUUUCACUUCAUCACGGCGGAGUUGUCAUGUCGACUGAUCUGUUGGCGCUGAUCGCAAGCCUCCGUCAAGAUCGAUGCCACUCGUCCUCAGGACUGAUGCAAUCUGUUCGAGCUGCGGUGAUGAUUCUACUCGUUGCGAUCUCGCCGAGACGUUAAACGUCGUCGCCUUUUGCCGACCGCUGCCUCGCAACACCGUCAAUAUCUACCCACCCUCGCCACCGUUGCAAUCUUGGUGCCCACAAGCCGUCGUCAAGUCUGGCUGUGCUUCCUUCUCUUCAUCAGGCCGAGGUCGUCGUGCUGUCUGUCCACGAUGCCUUCUCUUUGUCACGUCGGAGCGUCAAAGUUCAGUGCCCCUACAUCAUCGUUGAGCCGUUCGUGAUGCCGUCUGGCCAUCCCUUCGUCACGUCGGAGCGCCACUGCUUGGUUCCCGUGCAUCGUCAUCAAGCUGAGGUCGUCGUUUCGUCCAUCCACAAUGUCUUUCUCUCCGCCGCGCCAAGGCUACGAGAUGCCAUCCGGCCGCGAUGCCCUUCACCUCGUCAAGUUGGAGUCGUCGUUCUGUCAUCACGCCAAGAUGAGAUACCGCCUGUCCGUGAUGCUCUCCCUCUUCGUGGAGAUUAAUGGUGUCGCACAUCCGCGUAUUGGAGCAUCGCUCAUCUACGUCAACCUGAAGAAAGAAUGGUGUCAUCUGUGAUGCCAGGAAACCAUUCGUGCUGAAUCUACUCCAACAAAUGCCCUUAGCCGUUCCGCCGACGAGGCAUUUACUUCUUCCAAGGUCGCUGUCAUUACCGGCGCCCUCAUAGAGCCCCUUUUACGGGCUCGUUAUCAUAUCAACUGGAUCAAUAGUAGAUCCAUCAUCUGAAGGAGGUGCUAAGCCAUGUUUGUCCGGCUGUCGUCUACACUGAUUUCUUCAUCAUCUUCAUUACAAGUCCCUGUUGUAUAAAGGGCAUGACAAGUUGGGAGGUGCCUAACCAUGUGUAAUUCGGCUGUCGUCUACACCAACUAUCUUCGUCAACUCUUCAUUACUUUGAUCUCAUCUAGCCAGAAGGUGCCCAACCAUGUAUAUUCGGCUAUUGUGUACACCAACUGACUUCACCAGCUCCUCUUCCCUUUAACACCAUUCUGAUGCCGUUGCUAUGACUUCUCUACCGUCCAAGCUACGCGAGUUCCAUGCAUGCUGAAGAUCACUAUAUCUACACCACCACGUCACUCAAGACAGAUGAGGCGGAGCGACGAGGGCAGGCGGAGUAUAAAUAAAGGCUAUGUCUCCAACACCGGCGCACGGACCGACGAGGCCGUGGAUCGCUGUCGGCGCCCACACACACAUCCACCAUCUUCACCAACAUUCAUCAUGCAUGGAGAACGUAAAGCGAAGACGACGAGACGACCACAAGCAGCUUAAUCGGAGGUUCUCCUGUAGGCCUAUACCUACAGGUAAUUAACUGGGAGCUUCUUGAGGCCCUAGGAACCAGAAGACCACAUCGCUGAUGUCAGAUCUGUCCAACGACAGGCAAAGGCACGCACAUUUUAUAUUAUACAUAGAAACUGUAUCUUGUUAAUUCAAUUAAUAAAGAUCACGUUUUUGUGUCUCUUUUGUGUUUGAUUUACAUUUUGUAUCUAGGUACACUGGCACGCCCGCACUAAUUUUCUUUCUAAACAUAGAGGGAUAUAUAUUCGUAUUUUUUCUAUCCUAAACAAUCACCAUUCGAGAUAUUUACGAGAGAUCACCAUUAUAAUUUUGCUGAAACAUGAGGUUUAUUAUCCAUUUGGUUUACAGUGAGACUAUCUACUUUCAAUGCUAGAAUAAACUACUCAAAGCAACGAGUUUGUCAACAAGAACAACCUCAAUGUCUUGGAGCAUUCCUUAAGUACGACAUCUCAUAAUUUUUAAUUUGGAAGAAGCGUGCAUUUUCUUUAUAGUCACUCUACAGUGACUGAAUAAACUAAAGAACAUCACAAAUCCGUCUUUCCUAUUUUUACCCCUAUUGUUGCCGCUGCAUGUUUUGCUUCUGUACAGAAAUAAUUAUGCCUACGUUGUUGUUCCAUGAUGCAAAUUGAGCGAGAGCUCAACUCAAGAAUUUAUUAUACACUUCCUUUUGUCAAGAAUGAUGGACAACUAGAUGAUUUUCAAUUGAAAUUAAUAUCUAUAUAUGAAACUAGUUAAUGUACCAAAGUUUAAAAUUUUGAAAACCCGUCUUGAUGUCGCUUGACACAACAUAGUUGCAUGAAGUUACGUGUUUGCAUGACAUUGGCUUGUCAUAUUCACAAUGAUGCUGCAUAUGCGGCCUUUGAUAUACGCUUGUUUUAGUAGUGGAUGGAGAAUCAAAGUUGAUUGCUGCAUCUUUACGUGGUCUGUAUGGUAUACGAUUUUGUUGUGGUGGAUUUAGUAUUUGUCAUAUGUUUUUUGUGUUUGUUCUUAUUGGAAUAAAAUGAUGGACAUCCUUUAUACACUCCAUUUAUAUCUAAAAUACAAAGUAGCUUCGAAUCAAAUUUAAGCGCACAGAAAAAUUGUGGAGUACCAAUCAUGGUAAUUAGCUACGACAAUGCACUAGGAUAUAUCCUUAUAGAGGCAAGCUAUUUAAAUAUGAAAGAUAAUUUUAUUUCUAUUUAUAUCACCUUAAGUUUCACAUGUCACAUACGAUGAUACCUGAGCUUAUAUUUUCACUUCCGAACUACAAUAUUGUGAAAAUUCAGUACAAGACACCGCCAAGGGUGGUAAUGCUACCGGGUGCACUAUAGUACCUAGGGUAGAUACCAUAUGUAGAUGGCAAGUUAAAAGCCAACAGUGCUUGAGCUUGAGCCAGAUUCCGGUCAAUGUAGAGAUCGCCAAACUGCUGUAGGUGUAGCUGCUGCGCUAUGGCCUGGACAACGUUAAUGUCCUGGUAGUGAGAUUGUUGCGCCACCAGCCUGAGCUGUUGCAAGACUUGGUUGUUUCUCACUUGAAACACAGCUGAUUGCAAGAAGGGGCUUGCCGCAAUGCUAUACUGCUGCCUUACGAACUCAUUAUAUAGGCUAAGCACCUGUUGCUGUAGCAGGAGAGGCGACUGCACCUGAUAUUGCCUAAUAUUUUGACCUAAAACAUCAAACUGCGCAGUGGCGCUGCAUGCAGCAAUAGCAAGGAGAGCAAAGACGAAAAUGAUCUUCAUUGUUGCAGGACACUAGUUCUUUUAAAUUUUUGUUGUAUAAUGCUUGAAUUGUGCGAGCGAUAAGGAGGGUUUUCAUGGAG